CCUACGGGUGGCAGCAGUGAGGAAUAUUGGUCAAUGGACGAAAGUCUGAACCAGCCAAGUAGCGUGAGGGAUGACUGCCCUAUGGGUUGUAAACUUCUUUUAUAUGGGAAUAAAAUGUUCCACGUGUGGGAUUUUGUAUGUACCAUAUGAAUAAGGAUCGGCUAACUCCGUGCCAGCAGCCGCGGUAAUACGGAGGAUCCGAGCGUUAUCCGGAUUUAUUGGGUGUAAAGGGAGCGUAGGGGGAUUGUUAAGUCAGUUGUGAAAGGUGGCGGCGCAACCGUAAAAUUGCAGUUGAAACUGGCAGUCUUGAGUACAGUAGAGGUGUGCGGAAUGCGUGGUGUAGCGGUGAAAUGCUUAGAUAUCACGAAGAACUCCGAUUGCGAAGGCAGCUUACUGGACUGCAACUGACACUGAGGCACGAAAGUGUGGGUAUCAAACAGGAUUAGAUACCCGUGUAGUC
Molecule: ribosomal RNA, 460 nt
Filed under: uncultured bacterium
Lineage: Bacteria
Description: partial 16S ribosomal RNA
Rfam family: Bacterial small subunit ribosomal RNA
Source: RNAcentral